Molecule: ribosomal RNA, 468 nt
Filed under: uncultured bacterium
Lineage: Bacteria
Description: partial 16S ribosomal RNA
Rfam family: Bacterial small subunit ribosomal RNA
Source: RNAcentral
GAUGAACGCUGGCGGCGUGCCUAAUACAUGCAAGUCGAGCGAACAGACCCUGCUCUUGCUUCUCUCACGUUAGCCGCACUGGUGUGAGUAACACGUGUAUAACCUACCUGUAAUACUGGUAACACUUCGGGACACCGGCUCUUAUCGCGUAUAAUCUAUUGCUCCGCAUUGGUCGAUAGUGAGAUUCGGCGGUUGGGUAUGGACUCGCGGGUUACCAGCUGGAUGGUGUGGUAGUGGCUUACCAAGGCUUCGACGGGUAGCCGGCCUGAGAGGGUGACCGGCCACAUUGGGACUGAGAUACGGCCCAGACGCCUACGGGAGGCAGCAGUGGGGAAUAUUGCACAAUGGGCGGAAGCCUGAUGCAGCAACGCCGCGUGCGGGAUGACGGCCUUCGGGGUGUAAACAGCUUUCGCCUGUGACGAAGCGUGAGUGACGGUAAUGGGUAAAGAAGCACCGGCUAACUACGUG